UUGCAUUCCCUUUUUAUGUGAUAGGGCUUUUUCUGGCUGACUGCAGUUGGUAUACAAUUGAUGGGAGUUAUCUUCAUGGCAUGAAAAUAAUUUAUGUUACAGUUAAUUGAAGAACUUCACCCACAAUUUUUGGGAUGGGAUGUCAUUAUUACUUCCAACUUGUUGAGCUGAUCAUGAACAUGCUGUGAAACUUAAAACGUGGGACUUGUUGAGAAAGUACUGUAAUAACAAAAAUUAUCGAAUUGGUUUUUUUCUAUAUCCAUGACAGAGGCAUUAGUAGGAACCAUGCUUGUGCACUUAAAAAGGCAACCAUUUGAUUCUUACCUAGUGUAUUUAUUUGUAAAGUAAUCGAG
Molecule: unclassified non-coding RNA, 353 nt
Filed under: Hevea brasiliensis (rubber tree)
Lineage: Eukaryota; Viridiplantae; Streptophyta; Magnoliopsida; Malpighiales; Euphorbiaceae
Source: RNAcentral